GAUGAACGCUAGCUACAGGCUUAACACAUGCAAGUCGAGGGGUAACGAGAGGAAAGCUUGCUUUCCUUGUCGACGACCGGCGCACGGGUGAGUAACGCGUAUCCAACCUGCCCCCAACUAGGGAAUAACCUUGCGAAAGUAAGACUAAUACCCUAUAAUUUCCUCAGAUGUCAUCUGACGAGGAAUAAAGAUUUAUCGGUUGUGGAUGGGGAUGCGUCUGAUUAGCUUGUUGGCGGGGUAACGGCACACCAAGGCAACGAUCAGUAGGGGUUUUGAGAGGAAGGAGCGCCGCAUUGGAACGGAGACACGGGACAAACUCCUACGGGAGGCAGAAGUGAGGAAUAUUGGUCAAUGAGCGGAAGCCUGAACCAGCCAAGUAGCGUGCAGGAUGACGGCCCUAUGGGUUGUAAACUGCUUUUAUACAGGAAUAAAGUUAGCCACGUGUGGUUAUUUGUAGGUACUGUAUGAAUAAGGACCGGCUAAUCCCGUGCCAGCCGCCGCGGUAA
RNAcentral lists this ribosomal RNA (506 nucleotides) under uncultured bacterium. RNAcentral's name for it is "partial 16S ribosomal RNA". It matches the Rfam family "Bacterial small subunit ribosomal RNA", at positions 28 to 523 of the family's 1533-position model. The record is from RNAcentral.